CAGUAGCCGCGGGAAUACGUAGGGUGCAAGCGUUAAUCGGAAUUACUGGGCGUAAAGCGUGCGCAGGCGGUUUUGUAAGACAGAUGUGAAAUCCCCGGGCUCAACCUGGGAACUGCAUUUGUGACUGUAUAGCUAGAGUACGGCAGAGGGGGAUGGAAUUCCGCGUGUAGCAGUGAAAUGCGUAGAUAUGCGGAGGAACACCGAUGGCGAAGGCAAUCCCCUGGGCCUGUACUGACGCUCAUGCACGAAAGCGUGGGGAGCAAACAGGAUUAGAUACCCCCGUAGUCCCUGUCUCUUAUAC
RNAcentral lists this ribosomal RNA (301 nucleotides) under uncultured bacterium. RNAcentral's name for it is "partial 16S ribosomal RNA". It matches the Rfam family "Bacterial small subunit ribosomal RNA", at positions 509 to 807 of the family's 1533-position model. The record is from RNAcentral.